UAUGUACCUUAAAAGCAAUCAUGGUGCGAGCUUCUUUUCUUUGUGUUCAGUUGAUAUUCCUCGUUGGAAUCGCCACUUGUAUGGCAAAUUCUCAAGACCUGAAUGGCCCCUUUAAACCCGUUGGUAGUGAUGUAGUCAGGCUCAUUACUGAAGCAACUAUAGAAGAUUAUAACGAAAUACUCGCGCUUAACUAUCCACGUAGUUUUGUACAUCUCACGAAGAUAACCAAUUUUAAAUUCGAAUUUCCAACCAUGUUUCCAAGUUAUAAUUUAAGAGUUUGGUUUGAAGUCACCAAAUAUUCGGAACUACCAUCUGCGCUGCCAAUUGUUAUUGAGACGAAGGUGCCGUGUUAUAUGUUCGUUUCUGAAUCUUUAGGUAAAGACAUAGUAAAGUAUAUUUAUUGUAACCCAGAUCCACAACAUAGGGCAUAAUGAAAUCAGAUGAUGAGAAUGUGGCAAAACUUGUGGGCAUAAACAAGUCUUAAUACUAUUAGAAAUACUUCCAACGCUAUAACCUCUCAUAUAUAAACUUUAAACUAUAAAUUUAACUAAACAAACUGUUGCUUUUAUAAUGCGAAAUAUGAAAUUAUAUAGUUAGAUUUAAACUUUCAGGAUUUCACACAUUAUUAGAUUUUUAAUUCGGGAAUUAAUCACGUACAAAUAUAUUUUAAUUACCUCGACUUUUCGGACGUAUUGCAAUGUCCAUGGCCUCAAGAGGCACCCGCCAGCAUCUUCUAGCCGUGCGAGUUUUACUAACGACCCGCACUCGAUCUUUAUUAUUUAAGUGCGGUCCUCUCCCGAUUUAAAAAUCGAAUAAUGCAAUUAUAUAUCAACAACACAAAGUUGAUUUUGAAUAAAGAAUUUC
Long non-coding RNA from Hyposmocoma kahamanoa, 864 nucleotides. RefSeq lists it as uncharacterized. The record is from RefSeq and is a predicted model, not a curated record. The transcript is spliced from 2 exons. Lineage: Eukaryota; Metazoa; Arthropoda; Insecta; Lepidoptera; Cosmopterigidae.